AAAGCGCACGUAGGCGGCUUUUUAAGUCAGGGGUGAAAUCCCGGGGCUCAACCCCGGAACUGCCCUUGAAACUGGGAAGCUAGAAUCUUGGAGAGGCGAGUGGAAUUCCGAGUGUAGAGGUGAAAUUCGUAGAUAUUCGGAAGAACACCAGUGGCGAAGGCGACUCGCUGGACAAGUAUUGACGCUGAGGUGCGAAAGCGUGGGGAGCAAACAGGAUUAGAUACCCGAGU
This 230-nucleotide ribosomal RNA is filed under the name uncultured bacterium. RNAcentral's name for it is "partial 16S ribosomal RNA". It matches the Rfam family "Bacterial small subunit ribosomal RNA", at positions 562 to 791 of the family's 1533-position model. The record is from RNAcentral.